Molecule: ribosomal RNA, 403 nt
Filed under: Verrucomicrobiota bacterium
Lineage: Bacteria; Pseudomonadati; Verrucomicrobiota
Description: Verrucomicrobia bacterium partial 16S ribosomal RNA
Rfam family: Bacterial small subunit ribosomal RNA
Source: RNAcentral
UGGGGAAUAUUGCACAAUGGGCGCAAGCCUGAUGCAGCAACGCCGCGUGAACGAUGAAGGUCUUCGGAUCGUAAAGUUCUGUUGCAGGGGAAGAUAAUGACGGUACCCUGUGAGGAAGCCCCGGCUAACUACGUGCCAGCAGCCGCGGUAAUACGUAGGGGGCUAGCGUUAUCCGGAUUUACUGGGCGUAAAGGGUGCGUAGGUGGUCUUUCAAGUCGGUGGUUAAAGGCGACGGCUCAACCGUAGUUAGCCUCCGAAACUGUAAGACUUGAGUGCAGGAGAGGAAAGUGGAAUGCCCAGUGUAGCGGUGAAAUGCGUAGAUAUUGGGAGGAACACCAGUAGCGAAGGCGGCUUUCUGGACUGCAACUGACACUUAGGCACGAAAGCGUGGGUAGCAAACAGG